UGAUAAGAAUGUGACUUAUCAGCUAGGAACCCGGAAUAUUACCUCAGAUCAAGUCUUCUUUAUGGCAUUUGCUCAAGAAUCUUGUGAAAUUAGAUCUCCUGAAAUAGACAAUCGGCCGGAUAUUUUUGAACAUCUUCCCAGUGAUAUUAGAAUAAAUGACUUAUUGUUAGAGUAUGGACCUUUUUUGGAAGCCUGGAAUUGUGGUGAGAAACAGCCAUCACAAUAUUCUCCGCAUAGAUGCUCUCUGUGGUAGACCAUUUAUUGGGCCGCUGAUUUU
Long non-coding RNA from Gordionus sp. m RMFG-2023, 277 nucleotides. RefSeq lists it as uncharacterized. NCBI's taxonomy places the organism in Eukaryota, Metazoa, Nematomorpha, Gordioida, Chordodea, Parachordodidae. The transcript is spliced from 3 exons. The record is from RefSeq and is a predicted model, not a curated record.